Molecule: ribosomal RNA, 253 nt
Filed under: uncultured bacterium
Lineage: Bacteria
Description: partial 16S ribosomal RNA
Rfam family: Bacterial small subunit ribosomal RNA
Source: RNAcentral
UACGGAGGGUGCAAGCGUUAUCCGGAUUUACUGGGUUUAAAGGGUGCGCAGGCGGAUAUGUAAGUCAGUGGUGAAAUCUCCAGGCUUAACCUGGAAAUUGCCGUUGAUACUAUAUAUCUUGAAUGCUGUGGAGGUAAGCGGAAUAUGUCAUGUAGCGGUGAAAUGCUUAGAUAUGACAUAGAACACCAAUUGCGAAGGCAGCUUACUACGGAUUGAUUGACACUGAGGCACGAAAGCGUGGGGAGCAAACAGG